AAGCUCGUAGUUGAAUUUCGGGAUUAGUACGUCGGUCGUGCCUUAGGUACGUACUGGUGUUACUGGUUCCUACCUUCUGACGAACCAUCAUGUCAUUAAUUUGGUGUGGUGGGGAAUCAGGACAGUUACUUUGAAAAAAUUAGAGUAGUUUAAAGCAGGCUCGCGCUUGAAUACAUUAGCAUGGAAUAAUGAAAAUAGGACGUUGAUCCUAUUUUGUUGGUUUCUAGGAUUGACGUAAUGAUUAANAGGGAUAGUUGGG
This 259-nucleotide ribosomal RNA is filed under the name uncultured Glomus. Its description in RNAcentral is "partial 18S ribosomal RNA". It matches the Rfam family "Eukaryotic small subunit ribosomal RNA", at positions 624 to 886 of the family's 1831-position model. Lineage: Eukaryota; Fungi; Glomeromycota; Glomeromycetes; Glomerales; Glomeraceae. The record is from RNAcentral.